This is a long non-coding RNA of Sinocyclocheilus anshuiensis, 399 nucleotides long. RefSeq lists it as uncharacterized. The record is from RefSeq and is a predicted model, not a curated record. Lineage: Eukaryota; Metazoa; Chordata; Actinopteri; Cypriniformes; Cyprinidae. The transcript has 3 exons.
UGGCUUUUGGAUGCUUAUAUUUGUACCUGUUCUUUUUUUUUUUUUUCCUAUAAGGCAGGUGUUAGAAAAGAGGAUGUGGUUGUGGUCGUAUUGCAUAAUAAUUAGGAUAUGAUGUAUGACUGAUUAGCUUACUGCUGAUUUUACAUAAUGAUUUCAUGUUUGAAGGAACUUCAGACAAAGAUUUGGUGGAAAAGUUUUGCAAGUGUAUGUUGCAUACUAGUCUGCUACUCUGUCUUUUCUCCUCCUUGUGGCACUUACCAGAAAUUUACAGAACGUGUUUGGUCUUUCAUAGCAUGUAGACGUGCAUGAAAUAAAUCUAAACAUCACAGGUUGAUAAAAACAAAGCAAAGUGUGUGUUUGAAGCUGAAUGUGAUGGCGAAAUAAAGUUACUAGACAUUU